AUGAAAAGCAAACAAUGAAACUGUCAAUCCACUGAUAUUAUUUGAUGUUACUCAUGAAUCUCGACAGGUUCUGAUCCU
Thalictrum thalictroides is the source of this 78-nucleotide non-coding RNA. The record is from the annotation of a GenBank genome assembly. NCBI's taxonomy places the organism in Eukaryota, Viridiplantae, Streptophyta, Magnoliopsida, Ranunculales, Ranunculaceae.